AGAGUUUGAUCCUGGCUCAGAACGAACGCUGGCGGCGUGGAUAAGACAUGCAAGUCGAACGGGACUUUUUCUGGUAGCAAUACCGGGAAAAGUUUAGUGGCGAACGGGUGCGUAACACGUGGGCAAUCUGCCAUGAAGUGGGGGAUAGCUCGGCGAAAGCCGAAUUAAUACCGCAUGUGAUCAGUGAAGACAUCUUCACGACAUUAAAGCCGGGGCAACCUGGCGCUUCUUGAUGAGCCCGCGGCCUAUCAGCUAGUUGGUGAGGUAACGGCUCACCAAGGCGGUGACGGGUAGCUGGUCUGAGAGGACGACCAGCCACACUGGAACUGAGACACGGUCCAGACACCUACGGGUGGCAGCAGUCGAGAAUUUUUCUCAAUGGGGGAAACCCUGAAGGAGCGACGCCGCGCGGAGGAUGAAGGCUUUCGGGUUGUAAACUCCUGUCAUUUGGGAACAAUGUUCCGCUAUUAACUGUAGCAGGAUGAUAGACCAGAAGAGAAGGACA
This 505-nucleotide ribosomal RNA is filed under the name uncultured soil bacterium. RNAcentral's name for it is "bacterial SSU rRNA". It matches the Rfam family "Bacterial small subunit ribosomal RNA", at positions 8 to 494 of the family's 1533-position model. The record is from RNAcentral.